GAAUCGAGUGAGAAUGAAGUGAAUGGAUGAUUUAUUGAAAGGGACUGCUGGGUAUUUAUAGGUCCCCAAGAGUCGUUUACAUGUCGGUUACAAAGCCUCACGGCUGUUCCGAAUAGACGUGGUGUCGUUUCGAUAUCAUUGCGCGAUCUCCAGGUCAUCCAACUAGUCAGGAGAAUGAUAGAUUUGAUUCCUUUCUGAAGGGAGGGUUCUACAUUGGAAGAUGUGGCACCGGACCAAGUGUUGAAGGCUUCAUCAGUCGUUGGCAUACAGAUGAGGAUGUUGAGCUAGGCAAACACAUCAUGCUAGAUCUGCUGGGAGAAAGAGCAAUGUGUUAAUAGGUGCGAGAUGGAUUUAGAUUCUUGGUCAAAGAGAAAAGAAGUGUCAUCAUUGUUCAGUCCAUGACGCAUCUUUCAUUAGUCCAGUAAAGAUCCUAAGUUGCUAACCUAGCAAACACCUUGCACUUCAAGGGGGCCCAACAUUCCCAGAUGGAGCUGUUGUGAGGAGAUAUUGUUGGUCUUUCAAACAGCGCAUUAUAAGCAGAUUUAGCAGAGUAAGUACCUGAAGAUCAGAAGUUCCAGGUGAGUUCAUCGCCAGUGUGGGGAUUGAUACACAAUUAUACCGAUUAUCGAUAGAUUUAAGUAGAACCUGAUGUACACAGAAAAACCGCAAACUGUGUUGGGGCGCUCAUAGUGAGCUUGGUAUUGAGAUGUUUGUCAUGUGGUUGCGUUGAGAUGUUUUUUUUCUCACAAGUCCUUACUGAUGUAAUGAUGUAGGAAUUAUAGAUCGGUCUCUGCAGUGUAUCUAUAAUGACACUUGAGGUGUCCAUAUAGCUGUAGAAGGCUUAUGUUUUUUUUUACCUGUACCUAGCACAAGCAUUACAAUUGUGUUGUGUACCAUCCACUUACCUUUUAUGCUUACUGAGAAACCUCCAUUAGUAUUAACUCUUCUAGUUACUUUGACCAUUGAUAUAUGUUACAUAUGUGCCCAAAAUUUGCUGCGAAACCGAGUUUUUACUUUGAAACAAUGUGUUUUAAUGGGAUGUCCGAUACUUUCAGACUAUUCUUGCCACUAAAAUGUUGAUGUUAAUGGCGUCUUUCGUCUGUACUCCGAUGGAUGCAGAGUUUUAUCUCUAUCACAUGUCUCUCAUGUAGCUUGUACCCGUGGGUGUAGAAAUAAGCAUGCAGAAUUAGGUUCUCCGAGGUGUUGGUAUUUCUCGUAUUUACACAAUUCUUUUAGUGGUAGCAUCUGCUAUAUGUAGACGCAGUUUCCCACUGUGUUGUACUUGUUCUAGUGUUACUUGGUAUGAAUGUGGCUUAGUAAAAUCAUAUUGGAUUACUGAUUGGAUUACUGUGUGGUCAAAUGGGAUGUAACACUACUGAUGUAGUAUUUUUUCACUCUAGUAGCCAAUUUAAUCGAUUAGAUGAGUUAGUGAGUGAUUAGAGUAUAAUGGAAGCAUGUAAUUUUCAUAAGAAACGUUGGCUUGUUACAAGUAUGCCUGUUCUCUUCUCAUGGCAUUUUUUUUUUCUUGAAAGGAGGUCAUGCAGAUUGCAUUGGGGUUACUCAGCUGCUGAUGAAGCAAAAAUAGGCAUGCAUAAACUUUCCAAGGUGAUUUAUCUAGUAUUGUAAUUGUUUAGUAAAUAUUGAAAAGUAUAAUCCAUACCAUUAUUGUCAGGAUUUGCACUUCUGCUGAUGGUAACUUCUCUGCAUCUAGUACCUUCAGGGUAGCCCCGUAUUGUUAUUUUCGAAUCUCCUAAGGGAUGAUGUUGAGAGGUAGUCUCCUUGUGUGAUAGUUCCUGUAUGCACGCAUAAAUUUUAAAUGCUUCUUAUUUACUUGUUGCCUCUCUAAUUACUUUACGAAAUUAUGAUCAUAUAUCCUAUGUAGAAAUUAUUUCGAGAAUUUGAGGGGCUUGAUUUGGCAAAGAUGGUAAGUGUUGCCACUGAAACGGUAUUGCUUAUGAUAUCAUACCUAUGUUUAUUCCAUUUAUUUUCAGAAAAUUUUAACAAGAUACAUUGAACCAAACCUAUAUUAUGUUUACCAUACAAUGUUCACUUUUUUAUGAUUCUGGGCAUCUAAUUUGUAAUAAUAGUCGUAUGAUUGUAAAGAAAGGUCAACAUCUUUCCUUCAAUUAGUUGUGUUAUCACAUCCAUAUUCACUCUAGCAGCACUCAGUUGAGAAUUACUGUUUAUAAUAGCUGCUUAGCCCACAUAGGAUACAACAAUGAACGAUAAUUUGAAUUGUGUUAUUGUUCAGAAUAAAUAGCACUUUUAGUUUCUUGUAUGAUGUGGUUAACUGAAUUUACAGAUUUAUGAUGUUCCUGCUGAAGCUACUGGAACGUCCUCUGGAAUAUUUUAUACAUGAACACUAACCCUUCAUAAGCAAACAAGGACUGCCAGUUCACCUAAACCAAGGGAGAAGUGGAUGCAGCGCACCCUGGUGCAACAGUGGGAGGAAGAGAGAAGUGUAGCCUAAGGAGGCCUGGUGGGUUUUCGAAGAUGAGAUAAAGUAUCUGUUGGAUGAGUGGAACUCCAUCAUGGAUAAAAAAAUGAGUCCUACUUACAGAAAAGGUGAUGAUGAGGAAUCUUUUGUUAAGAAGAGAGCAUGAAAGAGAAAAAGAAGCCAAACUGGCCUAGGAAAGUUUGGAUUUUUCUGGCCAGAAUUGUGUUGUAUAUGGAAGAUGUUAGUUGGGCCAGCCUUCUCUAUCACAGAUCGAGAUGGAGGUAGCCAGGAGGAAGGGAGCCAUCGCCAUGGGACCCGGCUGGCUGGACAUGUUUCUCUGACUGAUAUUGUCGUGGGUUUGGUACUAGUGAGCUUAUGGUCAAAAGACUGAAGGAAGUCUAGCUCAUGGGUUCUAGUUGAAGUGCCUGACCUGGGAGCAGCUAGCAUUAUAUUAGGUCUUCACCUUGGACCUCUCUAGCUAGACUAGAUAUCAAUCUGCACAGAAUGAACUUGCUAGCAAAAGUGUAUGUUUUGAUUACCCAUUUUGGCGGGGAUUUGCAGUGCUAUCGAUCAGGUUUAACUUUCAUGUACUGUGGUCACUCAACCGUGUAUCUAUGUUUUGCACUAAAAGAUGCGAGUAAAGUUUGAAAUCUUUGGCGA
This is a non-coding RNA of Lolium perenne, 3097 nucleotides long. Lineage: Eukaryota; Viridiplantae; Streptophyta; Magnoliopsida; Poales; Poaceae. The record is from RefSeq and is a predicted model, not a curated record.